Non-coding RNA from Centropristis striata (black sea bass), 318 nucleotides. The record is from the annotation of a RefSeq genome assembly. NCBI's taxonomy places the organism in Eukaryota, Metazoa, Chordata, Actinopteri, Perciformes, Serranidae.
AUGUUCUCUGUAGCUCUGCUGCUGCUGUUGGCAGCUGGAUGUGUAAAGUGUGAAACGCUGACUCAGCCAGCCUCUGUGACUGUGCAGCCAGGUCAACGUCUGACCAUCACCUGUCAGGUCUCUUAUUCUGUUAGCAGCGAAACUACAGCUUGGAUCAGACAGCCUGCAGGGAAAGGACUGGAGUGGAUGAGUAGUGACACCAACGUCAAAGAUUCACUGAAGAACAAGUUCAGUAUUGAUGAAGACUCUUCCAGCAACACAGUGACUCUAAAUGGACAGAAUGUGCAGCCUGAAGACACUGCUGUGUAUUACUGUGCC